GACGAACCACACGAACGUUAUUCGGAAUCACUGGGCUUAAAGGGUGCGUAGGCUGCGCAGAAAGUUGGGUGUGAAAUCCCUCGGCUCAACCGAGGAACUGCGCCCAAAACUACUGUGCUCGAGGGAGAUAGAGGUGAGCGGAACUUAGGGUGGAGCGGUGAAAUGCGUUGAUAUCCUAAGGAACACCCGUGGCGAAAGCGGCUCACUGGAUCUCUUCUGACGCUGAGGCACGAAAGCUAGGGGAGCGAACGGG
This 253-nucleotide ribosomal RNA is filed under the name uncultured bacterium. RNAcentral's name for it is "partial 16S ribosomal RNA". It matches the Rfam family "Bacterial small subunit ribosomal RNA", at positions 524 to 776 of the family's 1533-position model. The record is from RNAcentral.